Molecule: ribosomal RNA, 523 nt
Filed under: uncultured bacterium
Lineage: Bacteria
Description: bacterial SSU rRNA
Rfam family: Bacterial small subunit ribosomal RNA
Source: RNAcentral
AGAGUUUGAUCCUGGCUCAGGAUGAACGCUAGCGGCAGGCCUAACACAUGCAAGUCGAGGGGUAACAGGAAUAGCUUGCUAUUUGCUGACGACCGGCGCACGGGUGCGGAACGCGUAUGGAACCUGCCCCUGUCAGGGGAAUAGCCCAGAGAAAUUUGGAUUAAUGCCCCAUGGUAUCGAAUCACCGCAUGGUGAUUUGAUUAAAGAUUUAUCGGACAGGGAUGGCCAUGCGUACCAUUAGCUUGUUGGUGAGGUAACGGCUCACCAAGGCAACGAUGGUUAGGGGCCCUGAGAGGGGGAUCCCCCACACUGGUACUGAGACACGGACCAGACUCCUACGGGAGGCAGCAGUGAGGAAUAUUGGACAAUGGCCGAAAGGUUGAUCCAGCCAUGCCGCGUGCAGGAUGACGGCCCUAUGGGUUGUAAACUGCUUUUACAUGGGAAGAAACCUCCCCUCGUGAGGGGAGCUGACGGUACCAUGAGAAUAAGGACCGGCUAACUCCGUGCCAGCAGCCGCGGUAAU